This 576-nucleotide ribosomal RNA is filed under the name uncultured bacterium. Its description in RNAcentral is "bacterial SSU rRNA". It matches the Rfam family "Bacterial small subunit ribosomal RNA", at positions 338 to 916 of the family's 1533-position model. The record is from RNAcentral.
CCUACGGGAGGCAGCAGUGAGGAAUAUUGGACAAUGGGCGCAAGCCUGAUCCAGCCAUGCCGCGUGCAGGAUGAAGCAUCUAUGGUGUGUAAACUGCUUUUGUACAGGAAGAAACCUCCCGACGUGUCGGGAAUUGACGGUACUGUAAGAAUAAGGAUCGGCUAACUCCGUGCCAGCAGCCGCGGUAAUACGGAGGAUCCAAGCGUUAUCCGGAAUCAUUGGGUUUAAAGGGUCCGUAGGCGGGCCAGUAAGUCAGUGGUGAAAUCUCUCCGCUCAACGGGGAAAUGGCCAUUGAUACUGCUGGUCUUGAAUUAUUAGGAAGUAACUAGAAUAUGUAGUGUAGCGGUGAAAUGCUUAGAGAUUACAUGGAAUACCAAUUGCGAAGGCAGGUUACUACUAAUGGAUUGACGCUGAUGGACGAAAGCGUGGGUAGCGAACAGGAUUAGAUACCCUGGUAGUCCACGCCGUAAACGAUGGAUACUAGCUGUUGGGGGCAACUUCAGUGGCUAAGCGAAAGUGAUAAGUAUCCCACCUGGGGAGUACGUUCGCAAGAAUGAAACUUAAAGGAAUUGACGG